RNAcentral lists this ribosomal RNA (432 nucleotides) under uncultured bacterium. Its description in RNAcentral is "partial 16S ribosomal RNA". It matches the Rfam family "Bacterial small subunit ribosomal RNA", at positions 29 to 506 of the family's 1533-position model. The record is from RNAcentral.
AACGAACGCUGGCGGCAUGCCUAACACAUGCAAGUCGAACGAGACCUUCGGGUCUAGUGGCGCACGGGUGCGUAACGCGUGGGAACCUGCCCUUAGGUUCGGAAUAACUCCCCGAAAGGGGUGCUAAUACCGGAUAAUGUCUUCGGACCAAAGAUUUAUCGCCUUUGGAUGGGCCCGCGUUGGAUUAGCUAGUUGGUAGGGUAAAAGCCUACCAAGGCGACGAUCCAUAGCUGGUCUGAGAGGAUGAUCAGCCACACUGGGACUGAGACACGACCCAGACUCCUACGGGAGGCAGCAGUGGGGAAUAUUGGACAAUGGGCGAAAGCCUGAUCCAGCAAUGCCGCGUGAGCGAUGAAGGCCUUAGGGUUGUAAAGCUCUUUUACCCGGGAUGAUAAUGACAGUACCGGGAGAAUAAGCUCCGGCUAACUCCGU